This 97-nucleotide small nuclear RNA is filed under the name Rhinopithecus roxellana (golden snub-nosed monkey). Lineage: Eukaryota; Metazoa; Chordata; Mammalia; Primates; Cercopithecidae. The record is from RNAcentral.
GUGCUUGUUUUGGCAGCACAUUGAAACAAUAUAGAGAAGAUCAGCAUGAUCCCUGUACAUGGAUGACACACAAAUUUGUGAGGUGUUGUAUAUUUCU